AUCCCAAACAUGAAGUAGAGUAGAUUAGAAGGAUCUCUUGACCCUACUAAACUACUCUACUUCGAGUUUGUGCCC
Haemonchus placei is the source of this 75-nucleotide non-coding RNA. Lineage: Eukaryota; Metazoa; Nematoda; Chromadorea; Rhabditida; Trichostrongylidae. The record is from Rfam.